RNAcentral lists this ribosomal RNA (253 nucleotides) under uncultured bacterium. RNAcentral's name for it is "partial 16S ribosomal RNA". It matches the Rfam family "Bacterial small subunit ribosomal RNA", at positions 524 to 776 of the family's 1533-position model. The record is from RNAcentral.
UACGAAGGGGGCUAGCGUUGCUCGGAAUCACUGGGCGUAAAGGGUGCGUAGGCGGGUCUUUAAGUCAGGGGUGAAAUCCUGGAGCUCAACUCCAGAACUGCCUUUGAUACUGAAGAUCUUGAGUUCGGGAGAGGUGAGUGGAACUGCGAGUGUAGAGGUGAAAUUCGUAGAUAUUCGCAAGAACACCAGUGGCGAAGGCGGCAUCCUGGCCCUGACCUGACGCUGAGGCGCGAGAGCGUGGGGAGCAAACGGG